AUAGUUGGCAUUGAUAACAAGGAUCUAAUGAAUUAUGAGUUUAAUAGAUCCUCUUUAGAAGAAAUAUGUAUAUUCCUUGCUCAUUAUCAGACAAUAACUUAUUCCCAAACCUCGUGUGGGACUAAUCGUUUCCAUUUACCAUCUCAUGGAAAAACCUGUUCGUUCCGCCUAGCCCUAUCGGGUAUUUUAGUGAUAGGUUCUAUAGGAACUGGACAAUCCUAUUUGGUCAAAUACCUAACGAAAAAUUACGAUUUCCCUUUCAUUAAGGUACAAGGGCUUCUUAUUCCCCAAGAACGAAAAUAA
This 303-nucleotide ribosomal RNA is filed under the name Triticum aestivum (bread wheat). RNAcentral describes it as "partial small subunit ribosomal RNA". The record is from RNAcentral. Lineage: Eukaryota; Viridiplantae; Streptophyta; Magnoliopsida; Poales; Poaceae.